AUUGAACGCUGGCGGCAGGCCUAACACAUGCAAGUCGAGCGGAGCGGCGGACGGGUGAGUAAUGCCUAGGAAUCUGCCUGGUAGUGGGGGAUAACGUCCGGAAACGGGCGCUAAUACCGCAUAAUAUCAGAUGAGCCUAGGUCGGAUUAGCUCGUGGGUGGGGUAAAGGCCUACCAAGGCGACGAUCCGUAACUGGUCUGAGCGGAUGAUCAGUCACACUGUAACUGAGACACGGUCCAUAAUCCUACGGGAGGCAGCAGUGGGGAAUAUUGGACAUGGGGAGAAAGCCUGAUCCAGCCAUGCCGCGUAUGUGAAGAAGGUCUUCGGAUUGUAAAGCACUUUAAGUUGGGAGGCGUUACCAACAGAAUAAGCACCGGCUAACUUAGUGCCAGCCGCCGCGGUAAUUC
Molecule: ribosomal RNA, 407 nt
Filed under: uncultured bacterium
Lineage: Bacteria
Description: partial 16S ribosomal RNA
Rfam family: Bacterial small subunit ribosomal RNA
Source: RNAcentral